RNAcentral lists this ribosomal RNA (465 nucleotides) under Vreelandella stevensii. Its description in RNAcentral is "partial 16S ribosomal RNA". It matches the Rfam family "Bacterial small subunit ribosomal RNA", at positions 338 to 795 of the family's 1533-position model. The record is from RNAcentral. Lineage: Bacteria; Pseudomonadati; Pseudomonadota; Gammaproteobacteria; Oceanospirillales; Halomonadaceae.
CCUACGGGCGGCAGCAGUGGGGAAUAUUGGACAAUGGGGGCAACCCUGAUCCAGCCAUGCCGCGUGUGUGAAGAAGGCCCUCGGGUUGUAAAGCACUUUCAGUGAGGAAGAACGCCUGGUGGUUAAUACCCAUCAGGAAAGACAUCACUCACAGAAGAAGCACCGGCUAACUCCGUGCCAGCAGCCGCGGUAAUACGGAGGGUGCGAGCGUUAAUCGGAAUUACUGGGCGUAAAGCGCGCGUAGGUGGCUUGAUAAGCCGGUUGUGAAAGCCCCGGGCUCAACCUGGGAACGGCAUCCGGAACUGUCAAGCUAGAGUGCAGGAGAGGAAGGUAGAAUUCCCGGUGUAGCGGUGAAAUGCGUAGAGAUCGGGAGGAAUACCAGUGGCGAAGGCGGCCUUCUGGACUGACACUGACACUGAGGUGCGAAAGCGUGGGUAGCAAACAGGAUUAGAUAUCCCUGUAGUC